This 247-nucleotide ribosomal RNA is filed under the name Pycnococcus provasolii. RNAcentral describes it as "partial Bacterial large subunit ribosomal RNA". It matches the Rfam family "Bacterial large subunit ribosomal RNA", at positions 1 to 275 of the family's 2925-position model. Lineage: Eukaryota; Viridiplantae; Chlorophyta; Pseudoscourfieldiophyceae; Pseudoscourfieldiales; Pycnococcaceae. The record is from RNAcentral.
AGACGGGCGCAGGGUGGAUGCCUUGGCGAUGGCGGCCGAGGAAGGACGCGGCCACGCGGCGAAAUGUCUGGGGGAGGCGCUGGCAGCCUGUGAUCCCAGAGAAUCCGAAUGGGGCAACCCGGUGGGCGCACGGCCCAUCACCCGGUGUAGGCCGGGAGGGAACCGCGGGAAGUGAAACAUCUGAGUACCGCGAGGAAAAGAGAAGAUUCCCCUAGUAGCGGCGAGCGACCGGGGAGGAGCCCAAACU